UCUCGUUAUAAAUUUGUCACUUCUUGAGAUUCUAUACACAGCCAAAUUAGCCUUCCCUCACAAUACACACUUGUACCAACUACCUCUUCAACCAUAUUGCAUAUGGGAUUUUCUCAAAGGAGUUCAUCUCCACCGUCCUCUUCUUUUUUCAUGCAUGCUUUAUCCUUCUCUGGUGGUGUGGCUUGUCAGUCACCUCUGUUGUUGGUGGGAAUAAUGAGACGGACCGGUUGGCGUUGCUUGAGUUCAAAGCCAAGAUCAUUGAUGAUCCUCUCCAGGUUUUGAGCUCUUGGAAUGAUAGCAUCCACUUUUGUCAAUGGCGGGGGGUUACCUGUGGUCGUCGACAUCAGAGGGUCAUUGUGUUGGACCUGCGAACUUCGAAACUGAUAGGCUCCAUAUCACCACAUGUUGGAAAUUUAAGUUCUUUGAAGAAUCUAAUACUCUCAAACAACAGCUUUCAUAAUGAAAUUCCUUCAGAAAUUGACCGUUUACGCAGAUUGCAAUUCCUACUAAUGUCCAAUAACACAUAUAUUGGCAAAAUUCCAAGAAAUUUAUCCCAUUGCACCAACCUCAAAAUCAUUGAUUUCAGUCGCAACCUUUUGGAUGGGGAAAUCCCUACAACUCUUGGCACUUUGUCAAAACUUCGACUCAUUAAUUUUGAUUUUAAUGAUUUGACAGGAAGUAUCCCACCUUCUUUCGGCAACUUAUCCUCUCUAAAAGUGUUUGGUACAGCUUAUAAUAACUUGGGUGGGAGUAUCCCUACUUCUUUUGGACAAUUGAUGAAACUUACAUUCUUUGGUGUCGGUGUAAUUAAAUAGGUUGUCUAGAAGAAUUCCUCCCUCAAUCUUCAAUUUGUCUUCGUUAAAAGUGUUUGUUGUAGGACUCAACCAAAUCCAAGGGCAUCUUCCAUCAGACAUAGGUAUCACUCUACCAAAUAUCGAAAAAAUUAGCAUUUCCUCCAAUCAAUUUACUGGACCUAUCCCUAUUUCAAUAUCUAAAGCCUCAAAUAUAAAGCUUCUUGAACUUGACGAAAAUAAACUAAGAGGAAGAGUUCCUUCUUUGGAGAAGUUAUAUAGAGUUUCAAUGUUUGUCAUUGCUUUUAACGAGCUUGGAAAUGGAGGGGCAAAUGACUUGAUUUUUCUUUGUUCUUUGACAAAUUCUACAUAUCUAACCUAUUUAGUGAUAAACAUGAAUAACUUUGGGGGAGAGUUGCCCAAGUGCAUUGUCAAUUUCUCAACUACUCUCACCUUCUUGUAUUUAGAUAAUAAUAAAAUAUCUGGGAACAUUCCUCUUGGGAUAGGAAAUCUGAUCAAUUUGGAGGAUCUACGGAUGUGGAACAAUAAAUUAUCAGGAAAUAUUCCUUCUGAAAUUGGAAAACUUCGAAAGUUACAAAUGUUGGCUUUAUCUCAAAACUAUUUCUUUGCUCUCUUGGAAAUUUAACUCUUUUGAUAAGAUUGGAUUUAGGGGAUAAUAAUCUUCAAGGAAGCAUCCCUUUGAGUCUGGGCAAGUGUCAAAAUAUGAUUGAUUUGACUCUUGCUAAUAACAAUCUUAGUGGUACCAUAUCAUAUCAAGUCUUUAGUCUCUUAUUCUCACUAAUUUUUCUAGACUUGUCAGCCAACAAAUUUGCUGGUGUCCUUCCCAUAGAAGUAGGAAAUUUCAUAAAUCUACAAGAGUUUAAUAUUACGGAAAACAUGUUUGGCGAAAUUCCUGCGAGUAUUGGUAGUUGUGUAAAACUUGAAAUUCUAGCAAUGAGAAGCAACUUCUUUCAAGGGGUCAUUCCUUCAUCUUUGGAAUCAUUAAGGGGUCUUGAAGUUUUAGAUCUUUCUAAAAACAAUUUCUCUAGAAAUAUUCCAAAAUUUUUGGAGAGCUUUAUCUUCUUGCAGUUAUUGAAUUUGUCUUAUAACGAUUUUGAUGGUGAGGUACCAACAAAUGGAGUUUUCAAGAACACAAGUGCAAUUAUGAUUAAGGGGAACAGUAAGCUUUGUGGAGGCAUGCCUAAGUUUCAUCUUCCUGUAUGUAAAUACAAUAAAUCCAAGAAGAGGAAGUUGACUCCUUCCUUGAAGCUAAUAAUCUCUAUAUUAUCUGGCCUUCUUGGAGUAACUUUGGUAAUGUUAUUUUUACUUCUCCGCACUUUAAAAAGAAAAAGAAGAGAAAGUAUUUUAAGUAAUUCGGGAAAUUUACUUUUGAAUGUAUCUUACCAUUGUCUCCUAAAAGCUAUAGAUGCAUUCUCCAUCACUAAUUUAAUUGGUGUGGGUAGCUUUGGAUCUAUGUAUAGAGGAAUUCUUGAUCAAGAUUGUUGUAAAGUUGCUAUCAAGGUACUCAACCUUUUGCACCAUGGAGCUUCCAAAAGUUUUAUUGCUGAAUGUGAGGCUUUGCGAAAUAUCAGACAUCGGAAUCUAGUGAAGGUACUCACAGCAUGUUCAGGUGUUGACUAUCAAGGUCAUGAUUUCAAAGCAUUGGUAUACGAGUUCAUGACUAAUGGCAACCUAGAUGGGUGGUUGCAUCUAGUUUCAAGAAGAAAUGAGGUUCCUAAGAAAAAAAAUGAAUUUGAAUCUUCUUCAAUGAUUGAAUAUUGCUAUUGAUAUUGCACAUGCAUUGGAAUAUCUUCAUCAUCAUUGCCAUACACCAAUUGUUCAUUGUGACCUCAAACCUAGCAAUGUUCUUCUCAAUGAUGAAAUGAUUGGACAUGUUGGUGACUUUGGCUUGGCAAGGUUCCUUCAGGAGGCUACCCAAGAGUGUUUCACUAAUCAAUCAAGCUCUAUCAGAUUAAGAGGAACAAUUGGUUAUGCUCCUCCAGAAUAUGGUAUGGGAAACGAGGUGUCAAUUUAUGGUGAUGUCUACAGUUAUGGCAUACUAUUAUUGGAGAUGUUCAUAGGAAAAAGGCCCACUGAUAACAUUUUCAAAGACAACUUGAACCUUCAUGAUUUCGUUACAAGAGCUAUGCCUGAACAAGUGAGUAACAUUGUGGAUCCUAUUAUUUUUUGGAAAAGUGAAGAUAUGGAAACAAGGACAAAUGAUACUCAAAUUCAAAAUCGAAUAGGAUGUCCCAAAAUUCUGGAGUGCUUGAUUUUGAUAUUUGGAAUAGGAGUUUCUUGUUCUAUGGAAUCUCCAAGAGAAAGGAUGAACAUUAGUGAUGUUGUAGCUCAAUUGCACUUGAUGAGAGAAAAGCUCCUCAGAACAAGAAUAUGCCGAGAAAGACUUCAACUUACAGGUAAAUUGUUCAUGACACAAUACUUGUUGCUCUAACACCCACUCCAAACCUUUAUGGAGGGAGGGGGGUCACAUAUCCUACACAAUGCCAUGUGCUUGUCACAUACUUUCUUUUAUUCUAGCGAAAUUGACAAUAUUGAUGCCAUGAGAAAUUUGAUUACAAGAUGGUACUAUUCAUCCAUGUGUUUUCUAUGAUUCCGAAUAAGCUCAUUUUUUGUCCCCGCCCCCCUAAAAACGUUUGUUGAAAAACAUAAAAAUCAAAAUGAAGUUUAAGCUAUUUUUGAUUUGGUGAUACCUACUGGUGUGGUUGAGAUUAUUGGCAUGUGUUUACACUAUACUUCUUAUAGUCUGCCUUCGAUGACUUUGACAUAGACAUGGGCUUAAAUUACUCCCAGUAUUUGGUAAAACUAAAUUACUAAGAACAAUUUAGUUGUUUAUAAUCUUAACUAUCUCACAGGUACCUGGAUAUAUAAGUGGAUAACCAUUUCCAUAGAACAUUUAAUUAGUUUGGGAUUCAACAACUUAACUGUCUUGCAUUAUUAUGAAUUCUCUUAGUAGCAAGACUAAAACUAAAAUUGUUUUUCAAUUCCUUACUCUUGAAGGGAAAAUUUCAUUCACCGCAUACAAUCAAUCUAUUUUGAAAACCAAAGCAUGUUCUUCCUAUACAUAGAAAUGAUUUCCCUUAAUUCAAUGAUUUAGAAAGAUAAUUUUCUUCCUUGAAUGCAGGUACAGAGGGCCAAUGAUCCUAUUGGAAGUUGCCAUAAUGACUUGAUGAGGUUUUGAUUUUGUAUAAUGUUGGAGCAAAUUAAUCAGGCUUGUAGCAUCUCCUUAUGUUUCUUUUAGCAAUCGCGUAUUAGUUUCUUUUGUAUUUGUCAUAGUUUUCUUGUUUAAUUAUCUCUAUAUUUGUAAUGUACUAUCGAUUACUUGGUUAUGGCCUAGGUCUCAUGUAGAAAAUGAAUUCCAAUAUGCUUAACAAAGUUGUGACACAAAGUGACAGAGACACAGAUGAAGAUGAGGAAAAGAGAAGAAAAAAUUUAAAAACCAUAAGCUUAGGAUAUUUAUUUUAAACAGUAUUAUCUAAUAUAUUUCAAUUUUUUAUUUAUUUAAAGAUUUGAAAAUUGAAAAGUCUCCGAACAAGAGCAAACGGAAUGACAAUAUUGAAAAUUGAAAACGAAUGAAAGUUGAAGAACUUUAUUGAAAAAAAAUAAAAAGAAAUUACAAGGAAAAAAAAUGAUAAAUUUAGAGAGUGCAAUUUAUAAUUUA
This is an RNA transcript of Quercus robur (English oak), 4470 nucleotides long. It is a transcript of the gene named probable LRR receptor-like serine/threonine-protein kinase At3g47570, with no coding region annotated. NCBI's taxonomy places the organism in Eukaryota, Viridiplantae, Streptophyta, Magnoliopsida, Fagales, Fagaceae. The record is from RefSeq and is a predicted model, not a curated record. The transcript is spliced from 2 exons.